ACAUAAAAGAGAAGCAAACGAAUACAAGUACU
This 32-nucleotide small RNA is filed under the name Arabidopsis thaliana (thale cress). RNAcentral describes it as "ATSL308540". The record is from RNAcentral. Lineage: Eukaryota; Viridiplantae; Streptophyta; Magnoliopsida; Brassicales; Brassicaceae.